This 743-nucleotide long non-coding RNA is filed under the name Cricetulus griseus (Chinese hamster). RNAcentral describes it as "lncRNA (ENSCGRG00000026122.1)". Lineage: Eukaryota; Metazoa; Chordata; Mammalia; Rodentia; Cricetidae. The record is from RNAcentral.
CAGACAAGUAUGCUGGACCAAACAAUGUUCUUCCUUUGUUAUGGUUGUUGGUGGUUGACUCAUGAAAAUUUGAGGUGCAUAGCCUAUGGUUAUAACUAACUUGUGUGACAACUUCAUUCUGUCAUAAAGUUCCUUGAGAAUAGAAAUCCUCUUUCUUUGUUCAGAGAAGAACACUCAGAACUUCUGAUAUUCCAAUGAUUCACAGGUCUUUUUGCAUUGUAUUUAUGUGUCAAACACAUGUCCUGAGCUCACAGGAUAUAGGGACAGAAAUGCAAUAUUGGCUUCAUCACCAGUCCAAAUUUGGGCAUUGCCAACACGUGUGACUGUCUGGAGAUAGGAGAGUGAGAAGCUGGUGGGAUUAUUAGGGUGACCUGUCCAGUGAGCAGAUGACCUCAGCAGAGCAUCACAAGUACUACCAUGUGUCCUGCAACAACUCCUACAGUUCUUCACAGAUGGAGAUGGCAGGGCAUGAGGAUGGCCAUGAGGAUGUCCAGUGUCCAAAGGAGUCAGUUUGUAAACACGAUCAAAUGUCCUCAAAGCACAGGCCUGGCACAAGCGGCGAUCCCAGAGCCCAGGUUUCUGUCCUCACCCUCUUCUGAUUGGCUACAGCUUCGAAUCAAAUGGAAGAUGAACGUGAGAACUUACAUAUCACUCUUGCUGAUCUCCACCAUUGUUAAGAUGACACCAUGAAAAAAAGAAAAAGAAAAUCAACAACCCUUCUCCAAGAAGGAGCUCUUAAUUAC